Molecule: ribosomal RNA, 2814 nt
Filed under: Trichophyton violaceum
Lineage: Eukaryota; Fungi; Ascomycota; Eurotiomycetes; Onygenales; Arthrodermataceae
Description: 23S ribosomal RNA
Rfam family: Bacterial large subunit ribosomal RNA
Source: RNAcentral
AAAAAUAUGUAAGAUAUAUAAAGUAUGUAAAGAAACUAUUAAGGAUAAUUAGCUAUAUAUUAAAGAUAGAUAGUUAUAAAUCUAAAAUCUAAGAUAAAUUAAUUAAAUAAACAAAGUGAACUGAAGUAUCUUAGUAACUUUAGGAAAAGAAAUCAAACGAGAUUUUAUUAAAAAUUCUUUUAAUAAAUAAGCUUAUAAGUAAAACGAAAAAAAAAUUUGUUUGAAAAAAGGGGAACCUUCCUCUAAAGCUAAAUAUAAUAUAUAAGCGAUAGUGAAAAAGUACCGUGAGGGAAAAUUUGAAUUAGUAGUUUUAUAAGCAGCUCGAAAAAAAGAGUGUACCUUUUGCAUAAUGGGUCAGCAAGUUAUGAUUAGAAGCGAGCAAUAAAAUAUUGCCCAGUUAAACCAAUUAUGAAAAAAUAAUAUAGUUUCUAAACAUAGACCCGAAAGCUAGUGAUCUUACCAUGGUCAGGGUAAUGAAGCCCGAACGAGUUAUCGUUGUAAAGAUAUUCGAUGAACUGUGGUAAGUUGGUGAAAGAUAAAACUGACUAGUCUAGCUGGUUUUCCGCGAAACCUAUUUAAGUAGGUAAUUUAACUAACAUCUUAGCAGGUACAGAACUGUGAUCUCUGGCAAAAAUUUAUUUUUGUAUAUCUCGGGGGAUCGUGAAGAUUUUAUCGGAGAGUAUUUGCACUCGGAAUGGCAAAGAUGAAUGUUGAAUAAUCAGACAUAGUGCGAUAAGGUUGUAUGUCUAAAGGGAAACAGCCCAGAACAAGAGUAAUAAGGUUCCAAAAUUAUUAUUGAGUGAAAUUAAGGAUGUUAUUAUCAAAUACAAUCAGGAAAUAGGCUUAGAAGCUGCCAUUUUUUGAAGAUCUCGUAACAGAGCACUGAUUAAAUAUUUUAGAUAUUAAUACCGAAAAUAUAACGGAUCUAAAUAAUAUACCGAAACCUUGUACGUAUAAUUAUACGGGGUAGCGGAACAUUGGAUAAAUCUUAGAUUUUAUCUUUUUUAAGUAAAAAAAAAUAAUAGAUAAUCCAAGAGAGAAUGCUGACAUGAGUAACGAAAAAGGAAAAUUUUAUUUCCCUCGCCUUAAGCUUAUGGUUUAUUUUAAAUUUCGGUAUCUAAGUAUAUACCCCAAAGGGUCUAUAUGAUGAUAAUAAUAAUUAUUUUUUGUAAACAAAAUCUUUAUUUAGUGAUAAAGGUUCAGGAAAUUGUAACAAAAAUCUAAAAAAAAAUAAUUAUAAACCGUACCUAAAUACUAUCGCAAGUAAGCAAGUAGAGUAUACAAAGGCGUUUGAGUGAACAAUCAUUAAGGAACUCGGCAAAUUAACUACCGUAACUUCGGGAUAAGGAGGACCAUUAUUAUAGAUACAUAAGUAUCAAAUAGUAAAAGGAAUCAUAAAAUAGUGUUGUACGACUGUUUAAUUAAAACAAAGCACUCUGCCAAGAUAGAAAUCUAAGUAUUGAGUGUGAUGUCUGCCCGAUGUCGGUAGGGUAACAGAUUUACUUAAUUAUUUAAUUAGGUUUUGAUGAACACCCCGAUUAAUGGCGGCCUUAUCUAUAAGGGUCCUAAGGUAGCGGAAUACCUUGGCCGUUAAAUGCGGUCUUUGCAUGAAUGACUUAACGAUACAACAGCUGUCUCGAUGAUUGGCUCAGUGAAAUUGAAUUAGCAGUGCAGAUGCUGCUUACCUCUAGAUAGACAAGAAGACCCUUUGCAGCUUUACUGUUACCUACUAUGAUAUAAUUUGAUAAUUUCCAGUGUAUAAGGUAAUAGUUAUGAAAUUGAAACACCUUUAUUUGUUCUAUUAUAUUCUUUAUGGUAGGAAGGCAGUUUAUGCGGGGCACAGAUCCCAUAAAAAGUACCUGGGUAUAUCCAAAGUUCAUAUUGUAAUUUUGUAGAUUUUUAUUUACAAAAAUUCAUUAAAUAUUUUUAUUGAAUUUUUUAUUUAAUUUGUAAUUAAUUAUUAUUAAUUAUCCAGUUAUUGUUUAUAUUAAGUUAGUUAUUAUUAAUUUUUUUUAAGUAAGAUUUUAACUAUAUGGUAAAUAGAUGUAAAUUAAAUAAUAAUAUAACUAUAUUAUUAUUUAGUCAUAUUAAUAGAGAAAUUUUACUUAUUAUUAUGAUGAUGUUUUUUUACUUUAAAAGUUUAAUGGCUUAAUCUUGCUUUACUGUUUGACUUACAAGUCUAUCAGUCGCGUAAGCGGGGCAUAUGAUCACAAGAUUCAUAAAUAAAGAUGAAUAAAUAGUCUGAACCUUUUUGAAAGAAAAGGAAAUAAAAGAUUAAAAACUUUUAUGAUAACAUAAUUGAACAGGCUAAUUUGCGCAAGAGAGUACAAAUUGAGUGCGCGGUUUGGCACCUCGAUGUCGGCUUAACUCAUCCACAUGAAUGUAUAAAUCAUGAAGGGUUCGACUGUUCGUCGAUUAAAGAGUUACAUGAGCUGGGUUUAAUACGUCGUGAGACAGUAUGGUUUUUAUCUUCUAGAGGGAUACAGAGUAAAAGAUAAAUAGUCCCUUCGUACGAAAGGAGUUGGGAAUGUUGACCUAUGGUUUACCUGUUGUUUAAUAUUGUUUAUAACUAAUUUACUAUCACUAAAGUAAAAAUUAUGAAUAUACACCUUAUUCAGGAAUGAUAUUGUGUAUAUGAUUGCUUAUUAAGCAUGGCAGGAAAGCUAAGUCAAUUAUAGAUAAGUGCUGAAAGCAUUUAAGCGCGAAGCUUAUUAUCUUAUACUCUUUUAUAUACGUAAUAUAAUAUUACGUAAUAGGCUUUAGUUGUAAUAAAUUUAAUUUUUUUUUUUUAGACAUAAAGUACUAAUUUAUUAU